GGGCCCGCACAAGCGGUGGAGCAUGUGGUUUAAUUCGAUGAUACGCGAGGAACCUUACCAGGGCUUAAAUGGGAGAUGACAGGGGCAGAGACGCCCUUUUCUUCGGACAUCUUUCAAGGUGCUGCAUGGUUGUCGUCAGCUCGUGCCGUGAGGUGUCAGGUUAAGUCCUAUAACGAGCGCAACCCCUACCGUUAGUUGCCAGCGAUUCAAGUCGGGGACUCUAACGGGACUGCCGGUGCAAACCGUGAGGAAGGUGGGGACGACGUCAAAUCAUCACGGCCCUUACGUCCUGGGCUACACACGUGCUACAAUGGUCGGUACAGAGGGAAGCUACCCCGUAAGGGGAUGCGGAUCUAUAAAACCGAUCUCAGUUCGGAUCGGGGUCUGCAACUCGACCCCGUGAAGCUGGAAUC
RNAcentral lists this ribosomal RNA (413 nucleotides) under uncultured bacterium. Its description in RNAcentral is "bacterial SSU rRNA". It matches the Rfam family "Bacterial small subunit ribosomal RNA", at positions 917 to 1333 of the family's 1533-position model. The record is from RNAcentral.